This 1461-nucleotide ribosomal RNA is filed under the name Bacteroides thetaiotaomicron. Its description in RNAcentral is "16S ribosomal RNA". It matches the Rfam family "Bacterial small subunit ribosomal RNA". Lineage: Bacteria; Pseudomonadati; Bacteroidota; Bacteroidia; Bacteroidales; Bacteroidaceae. The record is from RNAcentral.
UCAGGAUGAACGCUAGCUACAGGCUUAACACAUGCAAGUCGAGGGGCAGCAUUUCAGUUUGCUUGCAAACUGGAGAUGGCGACCGGCGCACGGGUGAGUAACACGUAUCCAACCUGCCGAUAACUCGGGGAUAGCCUUUCGAAAGAAAGAUUAAUACCCGAUGGUAUAAUCAGACCGCAUGGUCUUGUUAUUAAAGAAUUUCGGUUAUCGAUGGGGAUGCGUUCCAUUAGGCAGUUGGUGAGGUAACGGCUCACCAAACCUUCGAUGGAUAGGGGUUCUGAGAGGAAGGUCCCCCACAUUGGAACUGAGACACGGUCCAAACUCCUACGGGAGGCAGCAGUGAGGAAUAUUGGUCAAUGGGCGCAGGCCUGAACCAGCCAAGUAGCGUGAAGGAUGACUGCCCUAUGGGUUGUAAACUUCUUUUAUAUGGGAAUAAAGUUUUCCACGUGUGGAAUUUUGUAUGUACCAUAUGAAUAAGGAUCGGCUAACUCCGUGCCAGCAGCCGCGGUAAUACGGAGGAUCCGAGCGUUAUCCGGAUUUAUUGGGUUUAAAGGGAGCGUAGGUGGACAGUUAAGUCAGUUGUGAAAGUUUGCGGCUCAACCGUAAAAUUGCAGUUGAUACUGGCUGUCUUGAGUACAGUAGAGGUGGGCGGAAUUCGUGGUGUAGCGGUGAAAUGCUUAGAUAUCACGAAGAACUCCGAUUGCGAAGGCAGCUCACUGGACUGCAACUGACACUGAUGCUCGAAAGUGUGGGUAUCAAACAGGAUUAGAUACCCUGGUAGUCCACACAGUAAACGAUGAAUACUCGCUGUUUGCGAUAUACAGUAAGCGGCCAAGCGAAAGCAUUAAGUAUUCCACCUGGGGAGUACGCCGGCAACGGUGAAACUCAAAGGAAUUGACGGGGGCCCGCACAAGCGGAGGAACAUGUGGUUUAAUUCGAUGAUACGCGAGGAACCUUACCCGGGCUUAAAUUGCAUUUGAAUAUAUUGGAAACAGUAUAGCCGUAAGGCAAAUGUGAAGGUGCUGCAUGGUUGUCGUCAGCUCGUGCCGUGAGGUGUCGGCUUAAGUGCCAUAACGAGCGCAACCCUUAUCUUUAGUUACUAACAGGUCAUGCUGAGGACUCUAGAGAGACUGCCGUCGUAAGAUGUGAGGAAGGUGGGGAUGACGUCAAAUCAGCACGGCCCUUACGUCCGGGGCUACACACGUGUUACAAUGGGGGGUACAGAAGGCAGCUACCUGGUGACAGGAUGCUAAUCCCAAAAGCCUCUCUCAGUUCGGAUCGAAGUCUGCAACCCGACUUCGUGAAGCUGGAUUCGCUAGUAAUCGCGCAUCAGCCAUGGCGCGGUGAAUACGUUCCCGGGCCUUGUACACACCGCCCGUCAAGCCAUGAAAGCCGGGGGUACCUGAAGUACGUAACCGCAAGGAGCGUCCUAGGGUAAAACUGGUAAUUGGGGCUAAGUCU